Molecule: ribosomal RNA, 418 nt
Filed under: uncultured beta proteobacterium
Lineage: Bacteria; Pseudomonadati; Pseudomonadota; Betaproteobacteria
Description: bacterial SSU rRNA
Rfam family: Bacterial small subunit ribosomal RNA
Source: RNAcentral
GAGUUUGAUCAUGGCUCAGAUUGAACGCUGGCGGAAUGCUUUACACAUGCAAGUCGAGCGGCAGCGCGGGGCAACCUGGCGGCGAGCGGCGAACGGGUGAGUAAUGCAUCGGAACAUGUCCAUGUCGUGGGGGAUAGCCCGGCGAAAGCCGGAUUAAUACCGCAUACGCCCGAGAGGGGAAAGUGGGGACCGCAAGGCCUCACGCGAUUGGGUUGGCCGAUGUCCGAUUAGCUAGUUGGCGGGGUAAGAGCCCACCAAGGCGAUGAUCGGUAGCUGGUCUGAGAGGAUGAUCAGCCACACUGGGACUGAGACACGGCCCAGACUCCUACGGGAGGCAGCAGUGGGGAAUUUUGGACAAUGGGGGCAACCCUGAUCCAGCCAUUCCGCGUGAGUGAAGAAGGCCUUCGGUUGUAAGCUC